Molecule: ribosomal RNA, 529 nt
Filed under: Andreiomyces morozianus
Lineage: Eukaryota; Fungi; Ascomycota; Arthoniomycetes; Arthoniales; Andreiomycetaceae
Description: eukaryotic LSU rRNA
Rfam family: Eukaryotic large subunit ribosomal RNA
Source: RNAcentral
AUAUCAAUAAGCGGAGGAAAAGAAACCAACAGGGAUUGCCCCAGUAACGGCGAGUGAAGCGGCAACAGCUCAAAUUUGAAAUCUGGCCCUCUUGGGGGUCCGAGUUGUAAUUUGUAGAGGAUGCUUCGGUGUCGGCCCCGUGCCAAGUUCCUUGGAACAGGACGUCCGAGAGGGUGAGAGCCCCGUAUCGGCUCGGGUGGCCUUCGCCGUGUGAAGCUCCUUCGACGAGUCGAGUUGUUUGGGAAUGCAGCUCUAAGCGGGAGGUAUAUUUCUUCUAAAGCUAAAUAUUCGGUGUCACCGAUAGCGAACAAGUAGAGUGAUCGAAAGAUGAAAAGCACUUUGGAAAGAGAGUUAAACAGCACGUGAAAUUGUUGAAAGGGAAGGCUCUUGCCCCCAGACUUGCCCGCGAUCGUUCAGCCUUCCUUUUGGGUGGUGUAUUCGUCCGCGGGCGGGCCAGCAUCAGCUCAAGCGGCCGGAUAAAUACCUUGGGAAUGUAGCUCCUCACGGGGGAGUGUUAUAGCCCUUGGUG